RNAcentral lists this ribosomal RNA (583 nucleotides) under uncultured Lachnospiraceae bacterium. RNAcentral describes it as "bacterial SSU rRNA". It matches the Rfam family "Bacterial small subunit ribosomal RNA", at positions 86 to 685 of the family's 1533-position model. The record is from RNAcentral. Lineage: Bacteria; Bacillati; Bacillota; Clostridia; Lachnospirales; Lachnospiraceae.
CUCAAUCGAGUGGCGAACGGGUGAGUAACGCGUGAGGAACCUGCCUCAAAGAGGGGGACAACAGUUGGAAACGACUGCUAAUACCGCAUAAGCCCACAGGUCGGCAUCGACCAGAGGGAAAAGGAGCAAUCCGCUUUGAGAUGGCCUCGCGUCCGAUCAGCUAGUUGGUGAGGUAACGGCCCACCAAGGCAACGAUCGGUAGCCGGACUGAGAGGUUGAACGGCCACAUUGGGACUGAGACACGGCCCAGACUCCUACGGGAGGCAGCGGUGGGGAAUAUUGCACAAUGGGGGAAACCCUGAUGCAGCGACGCCGCGUGGAGGAAGAAGGUCUUCGGAUUGUAAACUCCUGUUGUUGAGGAAGAUAAUGACGGUACUCAACAAGGAAGUGACGGCUAACUACGUGCCAGCAGCCGCGGUAAAACGUAGGUCACAAGCGUUGUCCGGACUUACUGGGUGUAAAGGGAGCGCAGGCGGGAAGACAAGUUGGAAGUGAAAUCUAUGGGCUCAACCCAUAAACUGCUUUCAAAACUGUUUUUCUUGAGUAGUGCAGAGGUAGGCGGAAUUCCCGGUGUAGCGGUGGA